Molecule: ribosomal RNA, 522 nt
Filed under: uncultured Helotiales
Lineage: Eukaryota; Fungi; Ascomycota; Leotiomycetes; Helotiales
Description: eukaryotic LSU rRNA
Rfam family: 5.8S ribosomal RNA (bases 161-314)
Source: RNAcentral
UCGCCCCGUUUUUUAUAGAUGGGUUCUAUUCCCAAACCGUGUAUACAUACCUUUGUUGCUUUGGCAGGCCGCCUCCGGGCGUCGGCUUCGGCUGAUUAGUGCCUGCCAGAGGACCCAAACUCGUUUGUUUAGUGAUGUCUGAGUACUAUAUAAUAGUUAAAACUUUCAACAACGGAUCUCUUGGUUCUGGCAUCGAUGAAGAACGCAGCGAAAUGCGAUAAGUAAUGUGAAUUGCAGAAUUCAGUGAAUCAUCGAAUCUUUGAACGCACAUUGCGCCCCUUGGUAUUCCGAGGGGCAUGCCUGUUCGAGCGUCAUUAUAACCACUCAAGCUCACGCUUGGUAUUGGUGUUCGCGUGCUCGCGGCCCUUAAAAUCAGUGGCGGUGCCGUCUGGCUCUACGCGUAGUAAUUUCUCUCGCGAUGGAGUUCUGGCGGUUGCUUGCCAAAACCCCCCUAUUUUCUCAGGUUGACCUCGGAUCAGGUAGGGAUACCCGCUGAACUUAAGCAUAUCAAUAAGCGGAGGA